RNAcentral lists this ribosomal RNA (381 nucleotides) under uncultured bacterium. Its description in RNAcentral is "bacterial SSU rRNA". It matches the Rfam family "Bacterial small subunit ribosomal RNA", at positions 524 to 902 of the family's 1533-position model. The record is from RNAcentral.
UACGGAGGGAGCUAGCGUUAUUCGGAAUUACUGGGCGUAAAGCGCACGUAGGCGGCUUUGUAAGUUAGAGGUGAAAGCCUGGAGCUCAACUCCAGAAUUGCCUUUAAGACUGCAUCGCUUGAAUCCAGGAGAGGUGAGUGGAGUUCCGAGUGUAGAGGUGAAAUUCGUAGAUAUUCGGAAGAACACCAGUGGCGAAGGCGGCUCACUGGACUGGUAUUGACGCUGAGGUGCGAAAGCGUGGGGGGAGCAAACAGGAUUAGAUACCCUGGUAGUCCACGCCGUAAACGAUGAUAACUAGCUGUCGGGGCUCUUAGAGCUUCGGUGGCGCAGCUAACGCAUUAAGUUAUCCGCCUGGGGAGUACGGCCGCAAGGUUAAAACUC